RNAcentral lists this unclassified non-coding RNA (343 nucleotides) under soil metagenome. Its description in RNAcentral is "partial contains 5.8S ribosomal RNA, internal transcribed spacer 2, and large subunit ribosomal RNA". The stretch from base 1 to 119 matches the Rfam family "5.8S ribosomal RNA", at positions 35 to 154 of the family's 154-position model. The record is from RNAcentral.
GAUGAAGAACGUAGCGAAAUGCGAUACGUAAUGUGAAUUGCAAAUUCAGUGAAUCAUCGAGUCUUUGAACGCACAUUGCGCCCCCUGGUAUUCCGGGGGGCAUGCCUGUCCGAGCGUCAUUACUGCCCUCAAGCCCGGCUUGUGUGUUGGGCCCCGUCCUCCGAUCCCGGGGGACGGGCCCGAAAGGCAGCGGCGGCACCGCGUCCGGUCCUCGAGCGUAUGGGGCUUUGUCACCCGCUCUGUAGGCCCGGCCGGCGCUUGCCGAUCAACCCCAAUUUUUAUAGGUUGAACUCGGAUCAGGUAGGGAUACCCGCUGAACUUAAGCAUAUCAAUAAGCGGAGGA